This 565-nucleotide ribosomal RNA is filed under the name uncultured bacterium. RNAcentral's name for it is "bacterial SSU rRNA". It matches the Rfam family "Bacterial small subunit ribosomal RNA", at positions 113 to 694 of the family's 1533-position model. The record is from RNAcentral.
ACGCGUGAGGAACCUGCCUCAAAGAGGGGGACAACAGUUGGAAACGACUGCUAAUACCGCAUAAGCCCACGGGUCGGCAUCGACCUGAGGGAAAAGGAGCAAUCCGCUUUGAGAUGGCCUCGCGUCCGAUUAGCUAGUUGGUGAGGUAACGGCCCACCAAGGCGACGAUCGGUAGCCGGACUGAGAGGUUGAACGGCCACAUUGGGACUGAGACACGGCCCAGACUCCUACGGGAGGCAGCAGUGAGGAAUAUUGCACAAUGGGGGAAACCCUGAUGCAGCGACGCCGCGUGGAGGAAGAAGGUCUUCGGAUUGUAAACUCCUGUUGUUGAGGAAGAUAAUGACGGUACUCAACAAGGAAGUGACGGCUAACUACGUGCCAGCAGCCGCGGUAAAACGUAGGUCACAAGCGUUGUCCGGAAUUACUGGGUGUAAAGGGAGCGCAGGCGGGAAGACAAGUUGGAAGUGAAAUCUAUGGGCUUAACCCAUAAACUGCUUUCAAAACUGUUUUUCUUGAGUAGUGCAGAGGUAGGCGGAAUUCCCGGUGUAGCGGUGGAAUGCGUAGA